This 465-nucleotide ribosomal RNA is filed under the name Vreelandella stevensii. Its description in RNAcentral is "partial 16S ribosomal RNA". It matches the Rfam family "Bacterial small subunit ribosomal RNA", at positions 338 to 795 of the family's 1533-position model. The record is from RNAcentral. Lineage: Bacteria; Pseudomonadati; Pseudomonadota; Gammaproteobacteria; Oceanospirillales; Halomonadaceae.
CCUACGGGAGGCAGCAGUGGGGAAUAUUGGACAAUGGGCGAAAGCCUGAUCCAGCCAUGCCGCGUGUGUGAAGAAGGCCUUCGGGUUGUAAAGCACUUUCAGUGGGGAAGAAAGCCUUGGGGCUAAUACCCUCGAGGAAGGACAUCGCCCACAGAAGAAGCACCGGCUAACUCCGUGCCAGCAGCCGCGGUAAUACGGAGGGUGCGAGCGUUAAUCGGAAUUACUGGGCGUAAAGCGCGCGUAGGCGGUCUGAUAAGCCGGUUGUGAAAGCCCCGGGCUCAACCUGGGAACGGCAUCCGGAACUGUCAGGCUAGAGUGCAGGAGAGGAAGGUAGAAUUCCCGGUGUAGCGGUGAAAUGCGUAGAGAUCGGGAGGAAUACCAGUGGCGAAGGCGGCCUUCUGGACUGACACUGACGCUGAGGUGCGAAAGCGUGGGUAGCAAACAGGAUUAGAUACCCGAGUAGUC